Molecule: ribosomal RNA, 253 nt
Filed under: uncultured prokaryote
Description: partial 16S ribosomal RNA
Rfam family: Bacterial small subunit ribosomal RNA
Source: RNAcentral
UACGUAGGCAGCAAGCGUUGUUCGGAGUUACUGGGCGUAAAGAGUGUGUAGGCGGUUCCCUAAGUUCGAUGUGAAAUCCCUCGGCUUAACCGGGGAACUGCGUCUGAUACUGGAUGGCUUGAGUUUGGGAGAGGGAUGCGGAAUUCCAGGUGUAGCGGUGAAAUGCGUAGAUAUCUGGAGGAACACCGGUGGCGAAGGCGGCAUCCUGGACCAACACUGACACUGAGGAGCGAAAGCCAGGGGAGCAAACGGG